UGACCUGCGGAGGGAUCAUUACACAACAAAAUAUGAAGGCCUGGCUUUCGCGGCCGGCUGAAGUAUUUUUUUCACCCAUGUCUUUUGCGCACUUGUUGUUUCCUGGGCGGGUUCGCCCGCCACCAGGACCAAACCAUAAACCUUUUUUUCUUAUGCAGUUUCCAUCAGCGUCAGUAAAAACAAUGUAAUUAUUACAACUUUCAACAACGGAUCUCUUGGUUCUGGCAUCGAUGAAGAACGCAGCGAAAUGCGAUACGUAGUGUGAAUUGCAGAAUUCAGUGAAUCAUCGAAUCUUUGAACGCACAUUGCGCCCUUUGGUAUUCCAAAGGGCAUGCCUGUUCGAGCGUCAUUUGUACCUUCAAGCUUUGCUUGGUGUUGGGCGUUUUUUUGUCUCCCUCUUUCUGGGAGACUCGCCUUAAAACGAUUGGCAGCCGGCCUACUGGUUUCGGAGCGCAGCACAUUUUUUGCGCUUUGUAUCAGGAGAAAAGGACGGUACUCCAUCAAGACUCUACAUUUUUCACUUUUGACCUCGAAUCAGGUAGGGAUACCCGCUGAACUUAAGCAUAUCAA
RNAcentral lists this ribosomal RNA (570 nucleotides) under Bipolaris oryzae. RNAcentral's name for it is "eukaryotic LSU rRNA". The stretch from base 196 to 349 matches the Rfam family "5.8S ribosomal RNA". Lineage: Eukaryota; Fungi; Ascomycota; Dothideomycetes; Pleosporales; Pleosporaceae. The record is from RNAcentral.